ACUUCUGCAGUACACACUGAAACUGGAACAACACAGAGAAGAUUAGCAUGACCCCUGCACAAGGAUGGCAUACAAAUUUGUGAAGCUGGUGACACAUGC
Molecule: small nuclear RNA, 99 nt
Filed under: Spermophilus dauricus (Daurian ground squirrel)
Lineage: Eukaryota; Metazoa; Chordata; Mammalia; Rodentia; Sciuridae
Source: RNAcentral